UCCUGGCUCAGAACGAACGCUGGCGGCAGGCUAACACAUGCAAGUUGAGCGGGAUUGAUUGAUAGCUUGCUAUUAAUCAUGAGAGCAGCGCACUGGUGAGUAACACGUGGGAACAUACCUUUUGGUGGGGGACAACAGUUGGAAACGACUGCUAAUACCGCAUAAGCCCUGAGGGGGAAAGGAGAGAUUUGCCGAAAGAUUGGCCCGCGGAAGAUUAGGUAGUAGGUGGGGCAACGGCCUACCUAGCCGACGAUCUAUAGCUGGUCUGAGAGGACGAUCAGCCACAUUGGAACUGAGACACGGUCCAGACUCCUACGGGAGGCAGCAGUGAGGAAUAUUGGGCAAUGGAGGAAACUCUGACCCAGCCAUGCCGCGUGAGUGAAGAAGGUUUUCGGAUUGUAAAGCUCUUUCGGACGGGAAGAUAAUGACGGUACCGUCUAAAGAAGCACCGGCUAACUUCGUGCCAGCAGCAGC
RNAcentral lists this ribosomal RNA (474 nucleotides) under uncultured bacterium. RNAcentral's name for it is "bacterial SSU rRNA". It matches the Rfam family "Bacterial small subunit ribosomal RNA", at positions 17 to 518 of the family's 1533-position model. The record is from RNAcentral.